RNAcentral lists this ribosomal RNA (470 nucleotides) under uncultured Lachnospiraceae bacterium. Its description in RNAcentral is "bacterial SSU rRNA". It matches the Rfam family "Bacterial small subunit ribosomal RNA", at positions 916 to 1381 of the family's 1533-position model. The record is from RNAcentral. Lineage: Bacteria; Bacillati; Bacillota; Clostridia; Lachnospirales; Lachnospiraceae.
ACGGGGCCCGCACAAGCAGCGGAGCAUGUGGUUUAAUUCGACGCAACGCGAAGAACCUUUACCAGGUCUUGACAUCCAGUAAAAUCUGUGGAAACGCAGUGUGCUUUCGGGCGUACUGAGACAGGUGGUGCAUGGUUGUCGUCAGCUCGUGUCGUGAGAUGUUGGGUUAAGUCCCGCAACGAGCGCAACCCUUGUUGAUAGUUACUAACGCGUAGAGGCGAGGACUCUAUCAAGACUGCCGGGGACAACUACGGAGGAAGGUGGGAUGACGUCAAAUCAUCAUGCCCCUUAUGACCUGGGCGUACACACGUGCUACAAUGGCCGAUACAGAGAGGAGCAAACCCGCAAGGGGGAGCGGAUCUCAAAAAAGCGGUCACAGUUCGGAUUGCAGGCUGCAAUUCGCCUGCAUGAAGUCGGAAUCGCUAGUAAUCGCAGGUCAGCAUACUGCGGUGAAUACGUUCCCGGGCCUU